This 4800-nucleotide ribosomal RNA is filed under the name Triticum aestivum (bread wheat). RNAcentral describes it as "partial small subunit ribosomal RNA". The record is from RNAcentral. Lineage: Eukaryota; Viridiplantae; Streptophyta; Magnoliopsida; Poales; Poaceae.
AUGUAUGCCGUCGGAAAGGUCUUGUACAGUGUCGCUGGUCCAUUCCACCCAUUUGGCGGUGCGGUUGACAUAGUUGUUGUGCAGCAGCAGGAUGGCAGCUUCAAGAGCUCGCCGUGGUAUGUGCGAUUUGGCAAGUUCCAGGGGGUUCUCAAGACAAGAGAGAAGGUGGUAAACAUUGCUGUGAAUGGUGUUGAAGCCGGGUUUCACAUGUACUUGGAUAGCAAUGGUGAGGCUCACUUUCUCAGGGAUGCAGACUCAAUUACUGCGGAAGGGGAUUUUGUUGUGUCCACUUCAUCUUUGGGGGGGAAUGAACGGGAGGUGCUGAUGCAGGAUGCACAGUUAAGGAAGUCCAAGAGCACUUCUUGUGAUAUCUCAACCAUGGAGGCCUGUGCUGGGGAUGGGAAGAUGCCUGUGAGGACAGUCUCAAGACAGAGCACCAUACUUGAGCGGAUGUUUGGACGGAAACCAAAUAAGGACAAUGCCCCUGCUGUGGAUAGUGUGGGCUCAUUAGAGCGUGCGGAGAUUGCAGCCGAACUCCUUGAUACAAAGUGGUUGACAAAUCUCUCGCAUGGUUCGGAAGCUCCUAGUUCUGAUCAUGAACCUUCCAGUAGUCAUCUGAGAGAUGCUGGCAACAGUAAUCAAGGGGAAACCACAAAAAUGGUAUUGCCAGAUUGUAGCUUGGAUCAUGACAAAGCAAUGGGCUCUAAUUGUGACAAUGUUAACAGCACUGUUGGUAGCCCACAUGGAGGAAGCAGGAGUUCAGGAGAUGAAAAGGCGCACUGUAUACAAACCACUAGUGUCGAGGAGGAGAUUGUUGCCAUUUAUGCGCAUAAGACUGAUGGGAUCAUGUCAACUAUAGACCGGCCAGGAUCGGAAUAUCUGUCAAAUGAUUUGGAUACAGGUAAAAGUAUCAAUGAGUCUGUUGAUACUCAAGGUGAGUUGCAGGGUAAUCUUGAAGAUGUUACAGUAAGGGAAAUGCACACGGAGGUUUUUUCCAACAGUAUUUUUGAAAUUCAUGCAAUUGAAACAGGCAUUACUGAUUGUAAAAGUGAAGUGGUUUCACAGUUGGUUGCUGUUGAUUCCGACAAGUUCAACCAAAAUUUUACUGAAGCAAAUUCCCCAACUUUUAGCACAACCACAUAUUUAUCAAGUGAAACGCAUGAUGGUUCAUCGAUUGCUUGUGGUCAUGAGGCAUGCCAAGAGAAAGUGGUCAUUAUAAGUACCUCGGAGACUCUGGAGAGCUCAUAUGAUGUGUCCAAUAUUUUGGCUGAUGAAGUUCAUCAUGCUGAAUGUAACUCAUUGGCUGAUGGUCUACAGUUUGAAGAGUGUUCCAGAGUCUCCAGUGGAAAAUUGGAACAGGAAGAUGUCAAGGAAAAGCCACUGUCAAAUCAUAGUUCUAGCAAUAAAGAAGACUUGUAUAACUUGGGUGUUCCAGAAGUUUCUGUUUUUGAUGACUCUAGUUCUCAAACCUUCCAAGCUAAUCUUCCUGAUAAGGAUAUUUCUGUCAGUACUCUUGUCAAUGAUCACAUGGAUAUUUCUGCGGACACUGUUGCAAAUGAUCAUAAUACCAGCUCAUCUCAUGAUUUAGCUUGUCAGCAUGGUCUAAUAUUUCCUGAUGCUUCUCCUGGUGGUAUAGAUAUAUUGAGUUAUGUGCAUGAAAAUGAUUCUGACGAUGUAGCAAAGGAUUCCACGGUGAAUACUGAAACAUGCUAUGGGGAACAUGAUGUUUCUUUCAAUCAGACACCAAAAAUUCAAUGUGUGACAGGAGAGUGCAUUGCCCAAACACCUGAUGUCCCUAAUAAAGUGGAAGGUGAAGUUUCAUCAAUUAUUUUUGAUUUUUCCAGUUUGAGCAAAGUCGACACAGAAAAUAGCAAGCUAGAAUAUGAUGAGAACCGAUCUGGUUCUGCAAGUGGAGUUGACAUUGAGCUUGUGCCUGACGGGCCCGGAGAGUGCAUUGCCCAAACACCUUAUUUCCCUAAUAAAGUGGAAGGUGAAGUUUCAUCAAUUCUUUUUGAUUUUUCCAGUUUGAGCAAAAUUGACACAGAAAAUAUCAAGCUAGAAUAUGAUGAGAACCGAUCUGGUUCUGCAAGUGGAGUUGACAUUGAGCUUGUGCCUGACGAGCCCGGAGAGUGCAUUGUCCAAACACCUGAUUUCCCUAAUAAAGUGGACGGUGAAGUUUCAUCAAUUGUUUUUGAUUUUUCCAGUUUGAGCAAAGUCGACACAGAAAAUAUUAAGCUAGAAUAUGAUGAGAACCGAUCUGGUUCUGCAAGUGGAGUUGACAUUAAGCUUGUGCCUGACGAGCCAAGGGACGAAGCAGAAGUACUUAUGUCUUUAUCUGCUUGCCAUAAUAAAUUAGAAGACGAAUCUUCACCAAUUAUUUCUGAUUUUUCCAAUUUGAGCACAGUCGAAGCAAAAAACGCCAACUUGGAAGAUAAUGUGAACAGACCUAGUUCCGCAAGGGGAGUUGAAUUAGUGCCUGUGCCUGAGGACCCAAGGGAUAAAGCAGAAACAAUUGUGCCGCCCUGUAAGUUUGUAGAUGAAAUUCAGUUUCAAUUUAGUGAUACUACAAGUUUUUCUGACAGAAAGACUAUGGAUGGUAUAGUAGCUAAUGAAGCAGCAAUUGAACGAGUGCAUAAUGCAGCUGAUGGUGAUGCAGAUGAAGGAGUAAACGACAUUGAUCUCGAAAAUAAAUCAGAAAACAAUCCUGAUUUUUCAAGGCCCGAGAUUAUCCUUGUUCCUAUUCCUGGAAGUGGGUUGCAUCUAUCUGAUAAUAAUUUGGAGGCCAAAUCUGCACCAAAUAUCUGUUCUCACAUACAUGAUCUUGAAAGAUCUGAUAAUUUUCGAGUUAGUCACUCACUGUACAAUGGUAAGAAUGGUGAGGUUGAUCCAGUCAAGAGUAAAGACUCUGGCUUUCCAGAGCAGGAACUAGAAGGCACUAGUCAGUCAAAAGAAAAUAGUGCCCCAAGGGAUAAAGCAGAAACAAUCGUGCCGUCCUGUGAGUUUGUAGAUGAAAUUCAGUUUCAAUUUAGUGACACUACAAGUUUUGCUGAUAGAAAAACCCUGGAUGAUAUAAUAGCUAAUAAAACAGCAUGUGAAGAAGUGCAUGAUGAAGCUGAUGGUGAUGCAGAUGAAGAGGGAGGGAAUGAUACUGAUCUCGAAAAUGAAUCAAAAAAACAUUCUGAUUUGUCAAGGCCUGAGAUUAUCCUUAUUCCUAUUCCUGGAAGUGAGUUGCAUCUAUGUGAUAGUAAUCUGGAGGCCAAAUCUGCACCAAAUCUCUGUUCUCACGUAAACGAUCUUGAAAGCUCUGAUGGUUUUCAAGUAAGUCGCUCACUGUACAAUGGUGAGAAUAGUGGGGUUGAUCAAGUUGAGAGUAAGAACUCUGGUUUUUCAGAGCAGGAACUAGAAGGCACUAGUGUGUCAAAAGAAAAUAGUGGCCUGUGUGAGCUCAUCAACAGUCCAGUGCCUUAUAACAAGCACUCUGAUGACCUGAAAGACGAUUCAUUCAACCCUUUUGUGGAAUUAUCCCUAUGCAGGCACUUGUUAUCUGAAGGCAUGGGAGCAGAUGCUGCGUGCAAAACCUUUGAUGCUGAGAAGAUAACCUUAGAGAAGUUCCGUGCUAUGGAGCAGUCAUUGAUAAGAAACGACAAGCUAGUUGUUAGGAUUUCUGGCCGUUACUUUCCCUGGGAUGUAGCUGCACCUAUCGUACGGGGGAUGGUUUCUUUUAGAGAGGAACAGCUCUUUGAACACCAAGGUAUGAUAAAGGUGGAGCGAGUUGAGCCAAGCACAACACAAGGUGGCAGCUGGAGAAUUUGGCCAUUUAGUUUCAAAAGAACGAGGACUAUUAACAGCAUCCAGCCAGUUUGUGAGAGCACAGUCGUGAGUACUUUAUCCAUUCCUGUUAGAGAGUCGGAUGGAGAAAUAAAUAAACCCAGUGCAAAGAUGAUGGAGAGGAAGGUGCGAUCGCUCACUCCAACAUCUGAGGAGCUUGCGUCUCUUCAUCUCAGAGAGGGCAGGAACAUUGUGACAUUUACCUUCUCCACUGCUAUGCUUGGGACGCAGCAGGUAGAUGCUCACAUAUAUUUAUGGGAAUGGAAUGCACACAUUGUCAUAUCAGAUGUUGAUGGAACUAUCACCAAGUCUGAUGUUCUAGGUCAGUUCAUGCCAAUGGUUGGUGUUGAUUGGUCUCAAAAUGGAGUUGCUCAUUUAUUUUCUGCAAUAAAGGAAAAUGGAUAUCACCUGCUUUUUCUAAGUGCGCGCUCUAUUUCACAGGCCCACCUAACAAGGCAGUUUCUUUUCAACCUAAAGCAGGACGGAAAAGCACUUCCUGAUGGCCCUGUCGUGAUAUCUCCUGAUGGCCUCUUUCCAUCUUUGUACAGAGAAGUUAUCAGAAGAGCUCCUCAUGAAUUCAAGAUCUCAUGCCUAGCGGAUAUCAAAGCACUAUUUCCUCCUGACUCGCAUCCUUUCUAUGCGGGAUUUGGGAAUAGAGAUACUGAUGAGCUUAGUUACCUCAAGGUUGGGAUUCCCAUGGGCAAGAUCUUCAUAAUAAAUCCCAAGGGUGAAGUUGCUGUGAAUCGCAGGGUGAAUACCAAAUCAUACAUGUCCUUGCAUGCUCUUGUGAAUCGGGUGUUCCCUCCUCUAUCGUCACCACCGGAGCAGUCGCUGAUAUUUGAGGUGCAGUCUGGGCACAAUGCGCUAUGGCGCACAGCAAUGUCCAUAAGAAGGCGAAGGCAGAGGGGUAGUGCAGCGAGGCCAAUGAAUGGUUGGCGAAUGCUCCUAAUGCAAGAUGGACGGUGUGUAUAA